RNAcentral lists this long non-coding RNA (1175 nucleotides) under Equus caballus (horse). RNAcentral's name for it is "lncRNA (ENSECAG00000053695.1)". Lineage: Eukaryota; Metazoa; Chordata; Mammalia; Perissodactyla; Equidae. The record is from RNAcentral.
AGGAGAUGCUGUGGUCUGGAGCCAGCCCUCCGAGCACCAGGCCUCUGCCCCGUGGGGCAAGGUGGCCCCGCUUCCUGGCAACAGCUGGGGGUCUACACUGACAGAAGCCCCCCCCACAGCAGCAUCCCCUCCUCCAUAUGUGCUUGUGGCUCCCUCCCUCUGGCACCUGUCAGAACCCUGCAGCCCCAUUUUAUGGGUCCUCUGUCACGUCGUUGGCAUGAACUAACCCCCCCACCCAAAUGGCAAGUGGAAACAUCUGGAAGUUUGGACUGAAGCCUCACAGCGGCCUCCUGAAACUGUCAACACCCCUAUGGCCCCGUCCUCCCCUUCUCCUCACCCUGAACACCAGGCGGUAAAAUCUAGAGUGUCUGGGGACAAUUAAGGACACUCUUAUGCUCCUCAGGAAAUCAGGGCUGAUGUCUGUGCUGCUGCAGAGAAGCCGAUGGUGCUGGGGGCUCGGGGAGCUGGGGCUAAAGUCACCCGCCCUCGCGGGCCACCUGGUCUCCCCAACACCUGCCGAGACUCGGGCUCUGGUGCUGGCAGCAGCUUGGUGGCACCUCACACAGGCUGUCUGGUGGUGACGCUGCGUGACACAGCAGCGCAGCUUCUGAGGGAGGUGGCUGCAUCCCCGCCCUGAAGCCUCAGCGAGCUCCACGUCUCCACCGUCUUCAGAGGGAUUCCGGGCCCAGGACUCAUCCUCUUAAAAAGGAAUUGCAGUCGACAGCACUGGCUGGACUGUCACUGUCUCCGGCCGGGAGAAGGCAGCGCGGCUGCCAGCAACACACGGUUUUAACUCGGUCACACCCUAUCUGGGAUGGUCCAUGCCCGAGUCAGCGUGCAUGCAGCUCCUAGCUCUCUUCGCUCCUCAAGUGGCGGACUGCGAUGUUUGGGACUUGUCAUAAAAAUGAGGAGACAGGUCCAUGGAAGGGAAGGCAGUCGCCCUACACAGCACCAUUUGCACGUCCUCUGCCUCCAUCAUGGCUCACCUACCCUCGGUCCCACCCCUCAGAGCUCGGCCAGGACGGAAGCUGGUGCCACGGCCCCUCAAACGUCCAUAGUUGAGAACGGUUUAACCCACCCCUCCUGGCUAGAAAUGUGCAUUUUAUCCUGGGUUCUGAAGCUUCCACAGGAAGGAAUAGAUCUCUAAUGGUCGGGGGUCAGGUGCCAUGAAGCAG